UACGUAGGUGGCGAGCGUUGUCCGGAUUUACUGGGCGUAAAGGGCGCGUAGGCGGGCCGCCAGGUCCGGGGUGAAAGCCUCCAGCUCAACUGGAGAAGUGCCUUGGAUACCGGCGGCCUCGAGGGAGGUAGGGGCGUGCGGAACUUCGGGUGGAGCGGUGAAAUGCGUAGAUAUCCGAAGGAACACCGGUGGCGAAAGCGGCGCGCUGGAUCUCUUCUGACGCUGAGGCGCGAAAGCCAGGGGAGCAAACGGG
Molecule: ribosomal RNA, 253 nt
Filed under: uncultured bacterium
Lineage: Bacteria
Description: partial 16S ribosomal RNA
Rfam family: Bacterial small subunit ribosomal RNA
Source: RNAcentral